UUAAAAUUCUUCCUACAUUGCUCAAAAAUGAGGAAAAUUUUACAUUUUCUCAAACAGGGUAAGGAACUUGGUUCCUCGAAUAACUUCUGGUACAGACAUCUGAGGGCAUGGCUGUCCAAGAAGAAAAUGUAGCCAUUGGUGCCAUCUAUCGACCACAAGUUAAAGUUUGGCGAUCCGUUGGAUACCGACCGAGUUAUAGGCAAAACUUGGUGCAAAAAUGAAGAAAAUUUUACAUUUUCUCAAACAGGGUAAGGAACUUGGUUCCUCGAAUAACUUCUGGCACAGACAUCUAAGGGCAUGGCUGUCCAAGAAGAAAAUGUAGCCAUUGGUGCCAUCUAUCGACCACAGGUUAAAGAUAGGCGAUUCGUUGGAUACCGACCGAGUUAUAGGCAAAAUUUGGUGCAAAAAUGAGGAAAAUUUUACAUUUUCUCAAACAGGGUAAGGAACUUGGUUUCUCGAAUAACUUCUGGCACAGACAUCUGAGGGCAUGGCUGUCCAAGAAGAAAAUGUAGCCAUUGGUGCCAUCUAUCGACCACAGGUUAAAGAUAGGCGAUUCGUUGGAUACCGACCGAGUUAUAGGCAAAAUUUGGUGCAAAAAUGAGGAAAAUUUUCAUUACUUUUUUUGAAUUUUUUGAUUUUUUUUAUUAUUUUUCACUCUUUUUUUUUAUUUCAAGCAUUAUUAGAGUGAAAAGAAACUCAUUGCAACCCAUUGGCAUUAAAAUAAAACAAUUUAAUUUUUUUUGCAAAAUUUCCCAAAAAAAUCGUAAGGGGUAAGCCUUAUGAAAUUUUCGAGUGGAAAAUUUUUUUGAAUUUUUUUUCUGAUUUUUUAUUCUUUUUUUAAUUUAAAGCACUAUUUAAGUGAAAAGAAACUUAUUGCAACAAAUUCCCAUCAAAAUAUAUCACAUUUAAAAUUCUUGCUACAUUGCUCAAAAAUGAGGAAAAUUUUACAUUUUCUCAAACAGGGUAAGGAACUUGGUUCCUCGAAUAACUUCUGGCACAGACAUCUAAGGGCAUGGCUGUCCAAGAAGAAAAUGUAGCCAUUGGUGCCAUCUAUCGACCACAAGUUAAAGUUUGGCGAUCCGUUGGAUACCGACCGAGUUAUAGGCAAAACUUGGUGCAAAAAUGAGGAAAAUUUUACAUUUUCUCAAACAGGGUAAGGAACUUGGUUCCUCGAAUAACUUCUGGCACAGACAUCUGAGGGCAUGGCUGUCCAAGAAGAAAAUGUAGCCAUUGGUGCCAUCUAUCGACCACAAGUUAAAGUUUGGCGAUCCGUUGGAUACCGACCGAGUUAUAGGCAAAACUUGGUGCAAAAAUGAGGAAAAUUUUACAUUUUCUCAAACAGGGUAAGGAACUUGGUUCCUCGAAUAACUUCUGGCACAGACAUCUGAGAGCAUGGCUGUCCAAGAAGAAAAUGUAGCCAUUGGUGCCAUCUAUCGACCACAGGUUAAAGUUUGGCGAUCCGUUGGAUACCGACCGAGUUAUAGGCAAAACUUGGUGCAAAAAUGAGGAAAAUUUUACAUUUUCUCAAACAGGGUAAGGAACUUGGUUCCUCGAAUAACUUCUGGCACAGACAUCUGAGGGCAUGGCUGUCCAAGAAGAAAAUGUAGCCAUUGGUGCCAUCUAUCGACCACAGGUUAAAGAUUAGCGAUUCGUUGGAUACCGACCGAGUUAUAGGCAAAAUUUGGUGCAAAAAUGAGGAAAAUUUUCAUUAUUUUUUUUGAAUUUUUUGAUUUUUUUAUUAUUUUUCAGUCUUUUUUUUAUUUCAAGCAUUAUUAGAGUGAAAAGAAACUCAUUGCAACCCAUUGGCAUUAAAAUAAAACAAUUUAAUUUUUUUUUGCAAAAUUUCCCAAAAAAAUCGUAAG
This is a long non-coding RNA of Anopheles funestus (African malaria mosquito), 1862 nucleotides long. RefSeq lists it as uncharacterized. The transcript is spliced from 4 exons. Lineage: Eukaryota; Metazoa; Arthropoda; Insecta; Diptera; Culicidae. The record is from RefSeq and is a predicted model, not a curated record.